This 596-nucleotide ribosomal RNA is filed under the name Stutzerimonas stutzeri. RNAcentral's name for it is "bacterial SSU rRNA". It matches the Rfam family "Bacterial small subunit ribosomal RNA", at positions 55 to 647 of the family's 1533-position model. Lineage: Bacteria; Pseudomonadati; Pseudomonadota; Gammaproteobacteria; Pseudomonadales; Pseudomonadaceae. The record is from RNAcentral.
GUGCAAGUCGAGCGGAUGAGUGGAGCUUGCUCCAUGAUUCAGCGGCGGACGGGUGAGUAAUGCCUAGGAAUCUGCCUGGUAGUGGGGGACAACGUUUCGAAAGGAACGCUAAUACCGCAUACGUCCUACGGGAGAAAGUGGGGGAUCUUCGGACCUCACGCUAUCAGAUGAGCCUAGGUCGGAUUAGCUAGUUGGUGAGGUAAAGGCUCACCAAGGCGACGAUCCGUAACUGGUCUGAGAGGAUGAUCAGUCACACUGGAACUGAGACACGGUCCAGACUCCUACGGGAGGCAGCAGUGGGGAAUAUUGGACAAUGGGCGAAAGCCUGAUCCAGCCAUGCCGCGUGUGUGAAGAAGGUCUUCGGAUUGUAAAGCACUUUAAGUUGGGAGGAAGGGCAGUAAGUUAAUACCUUGCUGUUUUGACGUUACCAACAGAAUAAGCACCGGCUAACUUCGUGCCAGCAGCCGCGGUAAUACGAAGGGUGCAAGCGUUAAUCGGAAUUACUGGGCGUAAAGCGCGCGUACGUGGUUCGUUAAUUGGAUGUGAAAGCCCCGGGCUCAGCCUGGGAACUGCAUCCAAACUGGGCGAGCUAAGUA